Molecule: RNA transcript, 1144 nt
Organism: Oncorhynchus keta (chum salmon)
Lineage: Eukaryota; Metazoa; Chordata; Actinopteri; Salmoniformes; Salmonidae
Gene name: eukaryotic translation initiation factor 3 subunit A-like
Exons: 3
Source: RefSeq, a predicted model, not a curated record
GAGAGGAUGGGGAGGAAUGGAGGAAGGGAUGGAGAGAGAGGAUGGGGAGGAAUGGAGGAAAGGAUGGAGAGAGAGGUGGGGAGAAAUGGAGGAAGGGAUGGAGAGAGAGGAUGGGGAGGAAUGGAGGAAGGGAUGGAGAGAAAGGAUGGGGGAGGAAUGGAGAGAGAGGUGGGGAGGAAUGGAGGAAAGGAUGGAGAGAGAGGAUGGGGAGGAAUGGAGGAAAGGAUGGAGAGAGAGGAUGGGGGAGGAAUGGUGGAAAGGAUGGAGAGAGAGGAUGGGGAGGAAUGGAGGAAAGGAUGGAGAGAGAGGAUGGGGGGAAUGGAGGAAAGGAUGGAGAGAGGUGGGGAGGAAUGGAGGAAAGGAUGGAGAGAGAGGUGGGGAGGAAUGGAGGAAAGGAUGGAGAGAGAGGUGGGGAGGAAUGGAGGAAAGGAUGGAGAGAGAGGAUGGGGGAGGAAUGGAGGAAAGGAUGGAGAGAGAGGUGGGGAGGAAUGGAGGAAAGGAUAGAGAGAGAGGUGGGGAGGAAUGGAGGAAAGGAUGGAGAGAGAGGUGGGGAGGAAUGGAGGAAAGGAUAGAGAGAGAGGUGGGGAGGAAUGGAGGAAAGGAUGGAGAGAGAAGUGGGGAGGAAUGGAGGAAAGGAUAGAGAGAGAGGUGGGGAGGAAUGGAGGAAAGGAUGGAGAGAGAGGAUGGGGAGGAAUGGAGGAAAGGAUGGAGAGAGGAUGGAGAGACAGGUGGGGAGGAAUGGAGGAAAGGAUGGAGAGAGAGGAUGGAGAGAGAGGUGGGGAGGAAUGGGGGAAAGGAUGGAGAGAGAGGAUGGAGAGAGAGGUGGGGAGGAAUGGAGGAAAGGAUGGAGAGAGAGGAUGGAGAGAGAGGUGGGGAGGAAUGGAGGAAGGGAUAGAGAGUCGAUGGGGGAGGAAUGGAGGAAAGGAUGGAGAGAGAGGAUGGAGAGAGAGGUGGGGAGGAAUGGAGGAAAGGAUGGAGAGAGAGGUGGGGAGGAAUGGAGGAAAGGAUAGAGAGAGAGGUGGGGAGGAAUGGAGGAAAGGAUGGAGAGAGAGGAUGGGGGAGGAAUGGAGGAAAGGAUGGAGAGAGGAUGGAGAGAGAGGUGGGGAGGAAUGGAGGAAAGGAUGGAGAGAGAGGAUGGAGAGAG